This 72-nucleotide transfer RNA is filed under the name Camelus bactrianus (Bactrian camel). It matches the Rfam family "tRNA". From Rfam's summary of the family: Transfer RNA (tRNA) molecules are approximately 80 nucleotides in length. Their secondary structure includes four short double-helical elements and three loops (D, anti-codon, and T loops). The record is from Rfam by way of RNAcentral. RNAcentral also lists the same sequence under 2 other names. Lineage: Eukaryota; Metazoa; Chordata; Mammalia; Artiodactyla; Camelidae.
GAGGGUAUUGCUCAGUGGUAGAGCACAUGCCUAGCAUGCCUGAGGUCAUGGGUUCAAUCCCCAGUAUUUCCU